Molecule: unclassified non-coding RNA, 296 nt
Filed under: Hevea brasiliensis (rubber tree)
Lineage: Eukaryota; Viridiplantae; Streptophyta; Magnoliopsida; Malpighiales; Euphorbiaceae
Source: RNAcentral
UGGAAGAUGGAUUUUCUGAACUUGAUGAAACACUUCCAAGCACUAGUCCACUCGAAGAUAGUAAGGCAGCUGAUGAUAGUGAAGAGGAACUAACCUGUGGAUCAGAAAUCGAUGAUGACGACGACGUUGAUGAUGGGACUCAAAAUGAACUGGAUUUACCAGAGGUAGAAACUGAACUUGCUGAAAAGAUAUCAACAAAAAGGGCUUCUUCAGAGCUAUUCAAUGCUAUUUUGGGUGCUCCUGGUUUAUCUGUUCCUAUUGUACUUGAUAAGUGGGUCAGUGAAGGAAAAGAAAUA